AGCAGCCGCGGUAAUUCCAGCUCCAAUAGCGUAUAUUAAAGUUGUUGCAGUUAAAAAGCUCGUAGUUGAAUUUCGGGAUCAAAGGAUCGGUCAUGCCUUGGUAUGUACUGGUUUUAUUGGUUCUCACCUUCUAAAGAACCAUAAUGUCAUUCAUUUGAUGUUAUGGGGAAUUAGGACUGUUACCUUGAAAAAAUUUAGAGUGUUUAAAGCAGGCUUACGCUUGAAUACAUUAGCAUGGAAUAAUGAAAUAGGACAUCAGAUUCUAUUUUGUUGGUUUCUAGGAUCGAUGUAAUGAUUAAUAGGGAUAGUUGGGGGCAUUAGUAUUCAAUUGUCAGAGGUGAAAUUCUUGGAUUUAUUGAAGACUAACUACUGCGAAAGCAUUUGCCAAGGAUGUUUUCAUUAAUCAAGAACGAAAGUUAGGGGAUCGAAGACGAUCAGAUACCGUCGUAGUCUUAACCAUAAACUAUGCCGACUAGGGAUCGGAUGAUGUUAAUUUUAUAAUGACUCAUUUCGGCA
RNAcentral lists this unclassified non-coding RNA (516 nucleotides) under uncultured Glomus. RNAcentral's name for it is "SSU rRNA". It matches the Rfam family "Eukaryotic small subunit ribosomal RNA", at positions 569 to 1085 of the family's 1831-position model. The record is from RNAcentral. Lineage: Eukaryota; Fungi; Glomeromycota; Glomeromycetes; Glomerales; Glomeraceae.